RNAcentral lists this ribosomal RNA (497 nucleotides) under uncultured bacterium. RNAcentral describes it as "partial 16S ribosomal RNA". The stretch from base 20 to 341 matches the Rfam family "Bacterial small subunit ribosomal RNA", at positions 47 to 358 of the family's 1533-position model. The record is from RNAcentral.
GAUGAACGCUGGCGGCGUGCCUAAUACAUGCAAGUCGAGCGAACAGACGAGGAGCUUGCUCCUCUGACGUUAGCGGCGGACGGGUGAGUAACACGUGGAUAACCUACCUAUAAGACUGGGAUAACUUCGGGAAACCGGAGCUAAUACCGGAUAAUAUAUUGAACCGCAUGGUUCAAUAGUGAAAGACGGUUUUGCUGUCACUUAUAGAUGGAUCCGCGCCGCAUUAGCUAGUUGGUAAGGUAACGGCUUACCAAGGCAACGAUGCGUAGCCGACCUGAGAGAGAGGGCAGUCAGAAUGGAGAUUGGACACGGAACAGACGACGACGGGAGGGAGCCGUGAGGAUGGUGGGAAAAGGGGAGACGUACAGAAACAUGAAGAGAGCAUGGAAGAUGAAGGUAUUAGGAUAGUAAGAAUCUGUGAGUAGUAAAGAAAAAAGGCGUAAGUAAAGAUGCGCGUCUGGCCGGGACGGAAUCAGAGAGCGAGGGAUCGCUAGGUG